This 470-nucleotide ribosomal RNA is filed under the name Daphnia pulex (common water flea). RNAcentral's name for it is "eukaryotic LSU rRNA". The stretch from base 1 to 223 matches the Rfam family "Eukaryotic large subunit ribosomal RNA", at positions 2961 to 3401 of the family's 3401-position model. Lineage: Eukaryota; Metazoa; Arthropoda; Branchiopoda; Diplostraca; Daphniidae. The record is from RNAcentral.
GUUUAGACCGUCGUGAGACAGGUUAGUUUUACCCUACUGACGACCAUAGAAGAAAUGUUAUUGCGAUAGUAAUCCUGCGAAGUACGAGAGGAACCGCAGGUUCGGACAGUUGGUUGGCGCACUUGGUCGAGCGGCCAGUGGUGCGAGGCUACGUCCGGAUGAUUAUACCUGAAGGCCUCUGAAGGUAGAAUCGAUGCUGGAGGAAGGCAAUGAUACGCAGCGUCUUUUGACUCGUUUCGACGUUUUAUCUGGGUGGCUAUAACGAGACCCGUCUUGGUUAGAGAUUAAAACUCGCUCCAUCAGCGAGGGGGUUCCGGCCUUUUCGUUUCGUUUCGGACGAAUGCCUGGACGGCGCUUCAUUCUCGAGCCGCGGUUUUCAGAGGGGAGGUUCGCUGACGGCUAUGCUGGGUAUCCGCUACGGGAAUGCCAAACAUGCUCCCGUUCGCCUCUUUCUUUUUACCCGACUAAAG